This 497-nucleotide ribosomal RNA is filed under the name uncultured bacterium. Its description in RNAcentral is "partial 16S ribosomal RNA". It matches the Rfam family "Bacterial small subunit ribosomal RNA", at positions 28 to 507 of the family's 1533-position model. The record is from RNAcentral.
GAUGAACGCUGGCGGCGUGCCUAAUACAUGCAAGUCGAGCGAACAGACGAGGAGCUUGCUCCUCUGACGUUAGCGGCGCACGGGUGAGUAACACGUGGAUAACCUACCUAUAAGACUGGGAUAACUUCGGGAAACCGGAGCUAAUACCGGAGAAUAUAUUGAACCGCAUGGUUCAAUAGUGAAAGACGGUUUUGCUGUCACUUAUAGCUGGAUCCGCGCCGCAUUAGCUAGUUGGUAAGGUAACGGCUUACCAAGGCAACGAUGCGUAGCCGACCGGAGAGGGUGAUAGGCCACACUGGAAGUGGGACACGGUCCAGACUCCUACGGGAGGCAGCAGUAGGGAACCGUCCGCAAUGGGCGAAAGCCUGACGGAGCAACGCCGCGUGAGUGAUGAAGGUCUUCGGAUCGUAAAACUCUGUUAUUAGGGAAGAACAACUGUGUAAGGAACUAUGCACGUCGUGACGGUACCUAAUCAGAAAGCCACGGCUAACUACGUG